Molecule: long non-coding RNA, 417 nt
Filed under: Pan troglodytes (chimpanzee)
Lineage: Eukaryota; Metazoa; Chordata; Mammalia; Primates; Hominidae
Description: lincRNA
Source: RNAcentral
CCAUUUAAAGGGUUUCAGUGCAGCUUGCUAUGGGAACACUGGAGAGUAACACAAAUGGCCAAUUGUCCUAAUAGCCACCAUGGAUUGGAUGGAUGCUAACAACAGGCGCAGAGUUCUCCAUCUGUUGCCUCCUUUUAUCCACAUGAGAAUAAAACAAAACCACGGUCAGUGACCAAGGCCCUGCUUAGAACUUUCUGAAGGUCGCAGCUGGCCUUCUACCUGGAGUUUUGACUUCCUUUCCGAGAAAGGAACUUGAAUGGCAAUCACAAGAAAGUUGAGAACUUCUCUUUCAUAUUUUAAGCAUUCAUUUAUUUUUUAAAUUUAUUUUAAUUUACAAAUACUAAUUGUAUAUAUGUAUAAGGUAAGAUAUGAUAUUUUGAUAUGGCUACCUUGUAAUUAAAUGAGCCUCAUUACCAA